AACUUUUACAUGUGUCUGGGUGGUAACACGUGUUCUUACAGUGUGUCAGACUGCGAAAUGUAACGACAUUAGAUUUGGUCCGAAAUCGAAAGACUCGGGCAAAUUAAGCUCAUCAUCCACACCAACUGUGUGGUGCAGGCGGCAGCUGAUAGUUGCUCAGAAUGUCAUUAUGUGAAGUCUGACUGCUUAUCGUUGCAGCUUACGGCGGAAGACGAGGAACGUAGAAGGCGUCGUCGAGAGAGGAACAAGAUAGCGGCCACCAAGUGUCGAUUAAAGAAGAGAGAACGCACAGUUAACCUGGUGCAGGAAUCAGAAGUUCUCGAAAACCAGAACCAAGACUUGAAGAACCAGAUACAAGAACUGGAGACUCAGAGGCGUCGGCUGAUGGACAUGCUUUCGAUGCACAAGCCCACGUGUAUGAAGAACCUGCCUUACAGUCCAGACAACGCUGCUGCCACCUACUGUGGGGACCCCGCGACAUCCAUCGCAGCAGCUUUCUGUAACGACACCACCACGACCACUUCCUCCGGUGGGUAUCACCACUACAGUGGGGUUUACACGGACAACGGGUGCAUGGCGUAGUUGCCAUGUGAGUGUACGCAAAUGAGGGCACGGAGUGAAAUAUUUAAAAUGUUUCGACCACUAGGUGACAAUAAAGAAGCCACUACAUAAAUUGUAAACAGUUUGAGUCUUGCAGACGAAGAAAAUGUGAGAAUUCGGAGUAUUUUGUUUAUGAAACAGCAGUUUUCUCAAAGACAAGUGAACACUAAUGCCGAUGGCACGAGAGAACUCCCUCGUACUAAAAGUGCAACUUAAGAAAGGACCUUCUUUUAGGUUCUUCAGGUGACAGCUUAAGGAAGUGCGUUGAUCGUGGCAACAGAUGCUACGAGUUACAAGACACUGGACAGAGACUUGGAGCAUUCCGCCAUUUUAGUUUUGAAGACGGCAAA
This is a non-coding RNA of Zootermopsis nevadensis, 950 nucleotides long. The record is from RefSeq and is a predicted model, not a curated record. NCBI's taxonomy places the organism in Eukaryota, Metazoa, Arthropoda, Insecta, Blattodea, Termopsidae.